This 148-nucleotide small nuclear RNA is filed under the name Cyanobacterium sp. HL-69. RNAcentral describes it as "sau-50". The record is from RNAcentral. Lineage: Bacteria; Bacillati; Cyanobacteriota; Cyanophyceae; Chroococcales; Geminocystaceae.
AAAAAGCAGGAACUUUAGUAGCUGGAAUAUUCAUUUUUUCACCAGUUUUAGGAUUACGACCUUCACGUGCUUUUCUGUCACGGCUUUCAAAGGAGCCAAAACCAACGAGGGUUACUUUUUCUCCGCUCGAAACUGCUUCCAUGAUUGC